This 550-nucleotide ribosomal RNA is filed under the name uncultured bacterium. RNAcentral's name for it is "partial 16S ribosomal RNA". It matches the Rfam family "Bacterial small subunit ribosomal RNA", at positions 355 to 895 of the family's 1533-position model. The record is from RNAcentral.
UGGGGAAUUUUGGACAAUGGGCGCAAGCCUGAUCCAGCCAUGCCGCGUGCGGGAAGAAGGCCUUCGGGUUGUAAACCGCUUUCGUCAGGGAAGAAAUCUUCUGAGUUAAUACCUCGGGAGGAUGACGGUACCUGAAGAAUAAGCACCGGCUAACUGCGUGCCAGCAGCCGCGGUAAUACGUAGGGUGCAAGCGUUAAUCGGAAUUACUGGGCGUAAAGCGUGCGCAGGCGGUUUUGUAAGACAGAGGUGAAAUCCCCGGGCUCAACCUGGGAACUGCCUUUGUGACUGCAAGGCUUGAGUGCGGCAGAGGGGGAUGGAAUUCCGCGUGUAGCAGUGAAAUGCGUAGAUAUGCGGAGGAACACCGAUGGCGAAGGCAACCCCCCUGGGCCUGCACUGACGCUCAUGCACGAAAGCGUGGGGAGCAAACAGGAUUAGAUCCCUGGUAGUCCACGCCCUAAAACCGAUGUCAACUGGUUGUUGGGAAGGUUCCUUCUCAGUAACGUAGCUAACGCGUGAAGUUGACCGCCUGGGGAGUACGGCCGCAACGGUU